AAACUUUCAACAACGGAUCUCUUGGUUCUCGCAUCGAUGAAGAGCGCAGCGAAAUGCGAUACCUAGUGUGAAUUGCAGCCAUCGUGAAUCAUCGAGUUCUUGAACGCACAUUGCGCCCCCUGGUAUUCCGGGGGGCAUGCCUGUUUGAGCGUCGUUU
This 157-nucleotide ribosomal RNA is filed under the name Pichia terricola. RNAcentral describes it as "5.8S ribosomal RNA". It matches the Rfam family "5.8S ribosomal RNA". Rfam says of the family: 5.8S ribosomal RNA (5.8S rRNA) is a component of the large subunit of the eukaryotic ribosome. It is transcribed by RNA polymerase I as part of the 45S precursor that also contains 18S and 28S rRNA. Functionally, it is thought that 5.8S rRNA may be involved in ribosome translocation. The record is from RNAcentral. Lineage: Eukaryota; Fungi; Ascomycota; Pichiomycetes; Pichiales; Pichiaceae.